This 484-nucleotide ribosomal RNA is filed under the name uncultured bacterium. Its description in RNAcentral is "partial 16S ribosomal RNA". It matches the Rfam family "Bacterial small subunit ribosomal RNA", at positions 30 to 507 of the family's 1533-position model. The record is from RNAcentral.
AUUGAACGCUGGCGGCAGGCCUAACACAUGCAAGUCGAGCGGAUGAAGGGAGCUUGCUCCUGGGUUCCGCGGCGGACGGGUGAGUAAUGCCUAGGAAUCUGCCUGGUCGUGGGGGAUAACGUCCGGAAACGGGCGCUAAUACCGCAUACGUCCUGAGGGAGAAAGUGGGGGAUCUUCGGACCUCACGCUAUCAGAUGAGACUAGGUCGGAUUAGCUAGUUGGUGGGGUAAAGGCCUACCAAGGCGACGAUCCGUAGCUGAUCUGAGAGGCUGAUCAGUCACACUGGAACUGAGACACGGUCCAGACUCCUACGGGAGGCAGCAGUGGGGAAUAUUGGACAAUGGGCGAAAGCCUGAUCCAGCCAUGCCGCGUGUGUGAAGAAGGUCUUCGGAUUGUAAAGCACUUUAAGUUGGGAGGAAGAGCAGUAAGUUAAUACCUGGCUGUUUUGACGGUACCAAAAGAGUAAGCACCGGCUAACUUCGUG